GCAGCAGAGAAUAGGACUA
This 19-nucleotide microRNA is filed under the name Pan troglodytes (chimpanzee). Its description in RNAcentral is "ptr-miR-922". Its record names the gene ptr-miR-922. Lineage: Eukaryota; Metazoa; Chordata; Mammalia; Primates; Hominidae. The record is from miRBase by way of RNAcentral.